RNAcentral lists this ribosomal RNA (926 nucleotides) under Enterobacter sp. RNAcentral's name for it is "bacterial SSU rRNA". It matches the Rfam family "Bacterial small subunit ribosomal RNA", at positions 529 to 1455 of the family's 1533-position model. RNAcentral also lists the same sequence under 1 other name. The record is from RNAcentral. Lineage: Bacteria; Pseudomonadati; Pseudomonadota; Gammaproteobacteria; Enterobacterales; Enterobacteriaceae.
AGGGUGCAAGCGUUAAUCGGAAUUACUGGGCGUAAAGCGCACGCAGGCGGUCUGUCAAGUCGGAUGUGAAAUCCCCGGGCUCAACCUGGGAACUGCAUUCGAAACUGGCAGGCUAGAGUCUUGUAGAGGGGGGUAGAAUUCCAGGUGUAGCGGUGAAAUGCGUAGAGAUCUGGAGGAAUACCGGUGGCGAAGGCGGCCCCCUGGACAAAGACUGACGCUCAGGUGCGAAAGCGUGGGGAGCAAACAGGAUUAGAUACCCUGGUAGUCCACGCCGUAAACGAUGUCGACUUGGAGGUUGUGCCCUUGAGGCGUGGCUUCCGGAGCUAACGCGUUAAGUCGACCGCCUGGGGAGUACGGCCGCAAGGUUAAAACUCAAAUGAAUUGACGGGGGCCCGCACAAGCGGUGGAGCAUGUGGUUUAAUUCGAUGCAACGCGAAGAACCUUACCUACUCUUGACAUCCACAGAACUUUCCAGAGAUGGAUUGGUGCCUUCGGGAACUGUGAGACAGGUGCUGCAUGGCUGUCGUCAGCUCGUGUUGUGAAAUGUUGGGUUAAGUCCCGCAACGAGCGCAACCCUUAUCCUUUGUUGCCAGCGGUCCGGCCGGGAACUCAAAGGAGACUGCCAGUGAUAAACUGGAGGAAGGUGGGGAUGACGUCAAGUCAUCAUGGCCCUUACGAGUAGGGCUACACACGUGCUACAAUGGCGCAUACAAAGAGAAGCGACCUCGCGAGAGCAAGCGGACCUCAUAAAGUGCGUCGUAGUCCGGAUUGGAGUCUGCAACUCGACUCCAUGAAGUCGGAAUCGCUAGUAAUCGUAGAUCAGAAUGCUACGGUGAAUACGUUCCCGGGCCUUGUACACACCGCCCGUCACACCAUGGGAGUGGGUUGCAAAAGAAGUAGGUAGCUUAACCUUCGGGAGGGCGCUU